AAGUCGUAACAAGGUUUCCGUAGGUGAAUCUGCGGAAGGAUCAUUAGUGAACCUUCAUCAUGCUCUUGUAACCCGCGUAGUUCGCAAUCUCUGAUAAAUCAUAGCCCGGAAAGUUGUAGUGAUUCAGAGACCUCUAGCUACGUGCGAACAUUGGAACAGUUACAAUCGAGCGGUAGUUCUAUAGGCGUAAAGUGUCAUUGGUUGUGCAAGGAUAGCGCUUCUACGAUUCCUGUAGACCGUACACUCGGGCAGGAGCUUUGCCGGUCCCCAUGCCCCCUAAUAACCCCACAGUUUAAUGUGAAGCUCAAUGUAAUACAUUGCGUAAAAAAACCGAACAACUGUUAACAAUGGAUAUCUUGGUUCUC
Molecule: unclassified non-coding RNA, 365 nt
Filed under: fungal sp.
Lineage: Eukaryota; Fungi
Description: partial internal transcribed spacer region
Rfam family: Eukaryotic small subunit ribosomal RNA (bases 1-46)
Source: RNAcentral